This 249-nucleotide unclassified non-coding RNA is filed under the name uncultured fungus. RNAcentral's name for it is "partial contains 5.8S ribosomal RNA, internal transcribed spacer 2, and large subunit ribosomal RNA". The stretch from base 1 to 52 matches the Rfam family "5.8S ribosomal RNA", at positions 103 to 154 of the family's 154-position model. Lineage: Eukaryota; Fungi. The record is from RNAcentral.
AACGCACAUUGCGCCCCUUGGUAUUCCGAGGGGCAUGCCUGUUCGAGCGUCAUUACACCACUCAAGCCUCGCUUGGUAUUGGGCGCCGCGGCCGUCACCGUCCGCGCGCCCUAAUGUCUUCGGCUGAGCCGUCCGUCUCUAAGCGUUGUGGUUAUACAGUUCGCUUGCGAGUGCGCGCCGGUUUGUCGCCGUUAAACACCCCCAUCAAAGGUUGACCUCGGAUCAGGUAGGGAUACCCGCUGAACUUAA